This 506-nucleotide ribosomal RNA is filed under the name uncultured bacterium. RNAcentral's name for it is "partial 16S ribosomal RNA". It matches the Rfam family "Bacterial small subunit ribosomal RNA", at positions 28 to 523 of the family's 1533-position model. The record is from RNAcentral.
GAUGAACGCUAGCUACAGGCUUAACACAUGCAAGUCGAGGGGUAACGAGAGGAAAGCUUGCUUUCCUUGUCGACGACCGGCGCACGGGUGAGUAACGCGUAUCCAACCUGCCCCCAACUAAGGAAUAACCUUGCGAAAGUAAGACUAAUACCUUAUAAUUUCCUCAGAUGACAUCUGACGAGGAAUAAAGAUUUAUCGGUUGUGGAUGGGGAUGCGUCUGAUUAGCUUGUUGGCGGGGUAACGGCCCACCAAUGCAACGAUCAGUAGGGGUUCUGAGAGGAAGGUCCCCCACAUUGGAACUGAGAAACGGUCCAAACUCCUACGGGAGGCAGCAGUGAGGAAUAUUGGUCAAUGGGCGGAAGCCUGAACCAGCCAAGUAGCGUGCAGGAUGACGGCCCUAUGGGUUGUAAACUGCUUUUAUACAGGAAUAAAGUUAGCCACGUGUGGUUAUUUGUAGGUACUGUAUGAAUAAGGACCGGCUAAUUCCGUGCCAGCAGCCGCAGUAA